UCAACCAAGAAUAUAGAGAAAGAGCUUCUGCCCUGAGACUCAGAAAAAUAUUCUACACUGCUUCUGUUCAGUAUAGAUUUCUAGACCCUGAUCAUUGCUUAACAGAUUUUCACUGGGGGUCCUACGUCUCUGCAAUUUGUGUAUGAAUAACAGAAUAAUUUUCCUCUUUUGUUUCGCCUUUCCUGUUCCUGAAUCUAAAUAAAGAUGGCUUUUUAGUAUUAAAAGUGGAAGAAAAUUACAGGUAAUUAUCUUUGACGGUAAAAACGCUGUAAUCAGCGGGCUACAUGAAAAAUUACUCUAAUUAUGGCUGCAUUUAAGAGAAUGGAAAAAAAACCUUCUUGUGGAUAAAAACCUUAAAUUGUCCCCAAUGUCUGCUUCAAAUUGGAUGGCACUGCAGCUGGAGGCUUUGUUCAGAAUUGAUCCUGGGGAGCUCUGAACCCAAAGUUUCACAGUAGGAAGGGGGGAAAAAGAAAAGAAAACAUUUUUCUUAAUGUAACAAUACGAAUGGUAGAAAAUGACAAGACUGAUCGGUUUUAAACCAUUCUGAAGACUGACUGAGCGUGGAAGUUGCUCAACAAAAAAAAGGAACGGGUAUAUUGAUGUGGCCUUCAGGAUAACGUCCUACACACCAGUGGAGUGCCUUCACCAGAUAAAGAAGCGACCAAGGAGGAGUAAGGAUGACAUGAGUCAAGAGGUGCUUCAAUCCUCAGAAUGCAGGGUGCAGACUUUAAAAGAAUAUUAUAAAAUAUACAGGCAGGACAGAAAGGAGAGCCAAGAGUGAAAUUUAAUGGGUCAGGAGCACAUUAUAAAAGUGAUGGUGGAGCAAAUGGAGAUGUUGAAGUCCCUAAUCAUGCUGCACACUGAAUUCAUGCAUGGUUCCCUGCCCCCGCAGCCGAUACAGAACUGCUUUCCAUGCCCUCCUGAAAUUCCUCCCAUAUAUUCCUUGCAACUUCCUGGCCUGUCUAGGUAUUCCAUUCAAUCCAUCCCUUCUGACAGCUCCAAGAUGAGAGCUGGACUUGCACAUAGCUAUAAGAGCCUACACUGACCUUCAUUAUUAUCUCCCUUCCCACCAAGCCUUUUGUGUGUGUUGUUAAUUAGUAUUUAAUAAAAACAACCUCUCUGAAAGAUAAUCAAUCUUUAUUUGUCUCCUACACAUGGUGGUUGCUGCUAGAAUUAAUACACAGUGGCAAUUUGAUCAUUUGCUUAGUACAAAUCA
Chelonoidis abingdonii (Abingdon island giant tortoise) is the source of this 1216-nucleotide long non-coding RNA. RefSeq lists it as uncharacterized. NCBI's taxonomy places the organism in Eukaryota, Metazoa, Chordata, Testudines, Testudinidae. The record is from RefSeq and is a predicted model, not a curated record.